GACGAACGCUGGCGGCGUGCUUAACACAUGCAAGUCGAACGGAAAGGCCCUGCUUUUGUGGGGUGCUCGAGUGGCGAACGGGUGAGUAACACGUGAGUAACCUGCCCUUGACUUUGGGAUAACUUCAGGAAACUGGGGCUAAUACCGGAUAGGAGCUCCUGCUGCAUGGUGGGGGUUGGAAAGUUUCGGCGGUUGGGGAUGGACUCGCGGCUUAUCAGCUUGUUGGUGGGGUAGUGGCUUACCAAGGCUUUGACGGGUAGCCGGCCUGAGAGGGUGACCGGCCAAAUUGGGACUGAGAUACGGCCCAGACUCCUACGGGAGGCAGCAGUGGGGAAUAUUGCACAAUGGGCGGAAGCCGGAUGCAGCAACGCCGCGUGCGGGAUGACGGCCUUCGGUUUGUAAACCGCUUUCGCCUGUGACGAAGCGUGAGUGACGGUAAUGGGUAAAGAAGCACCGGCUAACUACGUG
This 468-nucleotide ribosomal RNA is filed under the name uncultured bacterium. Its description in RNAcentral is "partial 16S ribosomal RNA". It matches the Rfam family "Bacterial small subunit ribosomal RNA", at positions 28 to 507 of the family's 1533-position model. The record is from RNAcentral.